This 144-nucleotide small RNA is filed under the name Pseudoglutamicibacter albus. RNAcentral's name for it is "Arthrobacter albus c-di-AMP sequence". It matches the Rfam family "c-di-AMP riboswitch aptamer (ydaO/yuaA leader)". Rfam says of the family: This family represents a conserved RNA structure found upstream of the ydaO and yuaA genes in Bacillus subtilis and related genes in other bacteria. Lineage: Bacteria; Bacillati; Actinomycetota; Actinomycetes; Micrococcales; Micrococcaceae. The record is from RNAcentral.
GGCUUAAGCAAACCGAACACUCAUAGGCAGUGGCGGGGGAACCAAACUUUGGGGCUAAGACGCUCCUAGGGGUAAAGCGGGAAACCGCCGAGAGACUCCCUCUCGAACCCGACAGCUCACUCCGCAGGCACAGGGAGAGGUAAU